Molecule: unclassified non-coding RNA, 232 nt
Filed under: Hevea brasiliensis (rubber tree)
Lineage: Eukaryota; Viridiplantae; Streptophyta; Magnoliopsida; Malpighiales; Euphorbiaceae
Source: RNAcentral
GGAAAUUACAGGGGAAGGGACAGAUUCGGUGGGAGGCAAGGAUAUCGAGCCAGUGGUACCCGCGUAGAGAAAUGGAAGCAUGAUCUGUUUCAUGAGGCUAACCGGAGUCCAACUCCGAAGAAUGAAGAGGACCAAAUUGCCAAGGUUGAAGCUCUUCUUUCUUCUUAGGAUGGAAUUAGCCAAUGAUGCCCUCUGAUUUUAUUGAGUCUAGUGAAUAUGCAUUGACAAAAAU